AACGAACGCUGGCGGCAUGCCUAACACAUGCAAGUCGAACGAGACCUUCCUGUCUUGGUGCGCACGGGGGCGUAACACGGGGGAACCUACCCUUAGGUUCGCAAUAACUCCCCUAGGGGUGUGCUAAUACCGGAGAGUGUCUUCGGGCCAAAGAGUUAUCGCCGUUGGAUGGGGCCUCGUUGGAUUAGUUAGUUGGUAGGGUAAAAGCAGACCAAGGCCACGAUCCAUAGCUGGUGUGAUAGGAUGCUCCGCCCGAAUGGGACUGAGACACGGCCCAGAAUGCUACGGGAGGCAGCAGUAGGGAAUAUUGGACACUGGGCGAUAGCCUGACCAAGCCAUGUCGGGUGAGUGAUGAAGGGCUUAGGGUUGUAAAGCUCUUUUACACGGGAUGAUAAUGACAGUAACGGGAGAAUAAGCUCCGGCUAACUACGUG
Molecule: ribosomal RNA, 433 nt
Filed under: uncultured bacterium
Lineage: Bacteria
Description: partial 16S ribosomal RNA
Rfam family: Bacterial small subunit ribosomal RNA
Source: RNAcentral